AUACGUAGGGGGCAAGCGUUGUCCGGAAUUAUUGGGCGUAAAGCGCGCGCAGGCGGUUUUCUAAGUUAGGUGUGAAAGCCCACGGCUCAACCGUGGAGGGCCACCUAAAACUGGGAGACUUGAGUGCAGGAGAGGAGAGCGGAAUUCCACGUGUAGCGGUGAAAUGCGUAGAGAUGUGGAGGAACACCCGUGGCGAAGGCGGCUCUCUGGCCUGUAACUGACGCUGAGGCGCGAAAGCGUGGGGAGCAAACAGGAUUAGAUACCCUGGUAGUCCACGCCGUAAACGAUGAGUGCUAGGUGUUGGGGACUCCAAUCCUCAGUGCCGCAGCUAACGCAAUAAGCACUCCGCCUGGGGAGUACGGCCGCAAGGCUGAA
Molecule: ribosomal RNA, 375 nt
Filed under: uncultured bacterium
Lineage: Bacteria
Description: bacterial SSU rRNA
Rfam family: Bacterial small subunit ribosomal RNA
Source: RNAcentral